RNAcentral lists this ribosomal RNA (445 nucleotides) under uncultured bacterium. RNAcentral's name for it is "partial 16S ribosomal RNA". It matches the Rfam family "Bacterial small subunit ribosomal RNA", at positions 354 to 796 of the family's 1533-position model. The record is from RNAcentral.
GUGAGGAAUAUUGCGCAAUGGAGGCAACUCUGACGCAGCCAUGCCGCGUGCAGGAAGAAGGCGCUACGCGUUGUAAACUGCUUUUAACCGGGAAGAAACCCCAGGACGUGUCCUGGGUUGACGGUACCGGAGGAAUAAGCACCGGCUAACUUCGUGCCAGCAGCCGCGGUAAUACGAAGGGUGCAAGCGUUAUCCGGAUUCAUUGGGUUUAAAGGGUGCGUAGGCGGGGCGUUAAGUCAGUGGUGAAAUCCUGCAGCUUAACUGUAGACUUGCCAUUGAUACUGGCGCUCUUGAGUGCGCUUGAAGUGGGCGGAAUGUGCCGUGUAGCGGUGAAAUGCUUAGAUAUGGCACAGAACACCAAUUGCGAAGGCAGCUCACUAAGGCGAUACUGACGCUGAGGCACGAAAGCGUGGGGAUCGAACAGGAUUAGAAACCCGGGUAGUCC